GGUAGAUUCAAAGAUGCAGAUCAAAUAACUGAUGAAAGUAAAGCUUGAGUUAUUUUUGCUGCAAAAUCAGUGACAGCUUUGACUUGAUGGUGUGUUACUUUUCAGUAUUAGAAGGCUUUGUGAUGGUGGUUUGCUGAGGAGCCCACAAGUAUGCAAAGCUGCCUGAGAGUGAUGGAGAGUAUAACUAUCAUCAAUUCCUCCAGGAAGUUUUAGAGGCUGUUAUUGUAACACGUUAGUUAUAGGCAUGAGCUUAUGUACUAAAUUAAUUUAAAACCUGGAUAAACAUCAUAUUUUAGGUGACAUCAUUCUUAUCUUAACAUAGCUGCUAAAUAUUUGGCAUGCUGAACAAUGGUAGUUGUGAUUCAUAUACUGUAUGCUAUUGAGGCUAUGUCACUUGUUAUUGUUGUUAUAUGUUUGUUGUUAUUGUAAUCCCUAGAGAAGAAUAUUGUGAAGUUUAGGCAAGAUCGUUUCAUAAAUUCUCUGUUUUAAAAAUUUUUACCUUAUUUGUUUUGCACAAAAAUCUAGACUUGUCUGAUGUCUUGACGUCUUCAGAAGCAUCAUGUUCAUCCAUUGCAUCAACAUUGAUUUCUGAUGAUCCCCCAAGAAGGAAACCAAGGUUGAAGACCGUUCUGAUAAACAAGCAACAAAAAAGUGUAACCAUAUGACUGAAACAGAAGAACAACUCCACAAACUGCGGACCAAGAAUGCACUUGAGAUUGUCACUUUAUUUCAUUAUUUGGAGGACCUAUAUUCUUAGAAUGGAUAUGUAUGUAAUUCUUUCAGAUUGAAUAUUGAUGCAAAUUCUGUUUAACAGUUUAACUGUUGGUUAAUGUUUGGAUAUGCCUUCAUGUUUAAAGUUUUUUUUUUUUUUUUUUCUGCUAUUUGUGAUUUUAAGAGCACUUCUAUGAUGCAUUAAGUGGCUCAGGAUACCUGGCCUGGCAUAAAGACUGUAUACAGAGAAGUACAGGCUAGAACCUGGUGAUGGUUAUUUGAGAUCAUGGGCACAAACACCAGAAAUAAUCAUAGCUUUGUUGCU
Long non-coding RNA from Cyprinus carpio (common carp), 1036 nucleotides. The record is from Ensembl. NCBI's taxonomy places the organism in Eukaryota, Metazoa, Chordata, Actinopteri, Cypriniformes, Cyprinidae.